Molecule: non-coding RNA, 22 nt
Filed under: Rattus norvegicus (Norway rat)
Lineage: Eukaryota; Metazoa; Chordata; Mammalia; Rodentia; Muridae
Source: RNAcentral
CAUUUAGAGUUGGUCCCUUUGA